UAAAAAAAAAAAAGCAAAAUGUUAACACAAAUUUGUUUAAAAUACAAAUAUUUAAAAAAAAAAAAGAAUCAGAAAUAAAACUGGCUUGAGAAAGUAAAGCAUCGUUUGUUCUUCCUGUGGCUCCUCCUCCUCCUGUGCCGCAGGAAUGUCCACUGCCACAGCUGCCAGAGAAAGGGUCUUCCAGGUGGGCAUUCUCUAGGCCUUCACCAGGUGCCCCAAUGACUUUGCUUCUUUCUUGGUUCUCUUCCCUCUUCUCUGUUCCCUCUCCAUCUUGAAGUCUUCUUAUUACCCACUUUUUCCUAGGAUUUACCCUACUUCCCUAAAUAAAUCAUGAAUAGAAGGCCACUUCCUCAACCUGGUGAAGAACAAGUAUGAAAAAGCCAUAGUAUCAUCCUUAAUGUUAAAGACCAAGUGCUUUCCUCUAAGAGCCAAAGCAGGACAAGGACAUCAUUCUCACCCCCGCUCCUAGUCAAUAUUGUCCUGGAGAUUCUGCCAGAGCCAUCACACAAAGCAAUGAAAUGUGAAAAAGAAAACCAAAGUCUCUACUCACGGAUGACAUCAUCAUCUAAGUAUAAAAGUCUGAUUGAAGCUACAAAAAAAAAAAAAAUACUACUAGAACUAAUAAGCAAGUUUAGCAAGGUUGUAGGGUCCAAGGUUAAUAUGCAAAUACCAGUCAGAUUUCUGUAUCCUAGUACCAAUCAGAAAUUGAAAAUAAAUUUUAAAAAAUACCACUUACAACAGUAAUACUAAUUAACACCAAUAGAACACUUGGGGAUAAAUAUGACAAAAGUUACUUAAGACUUUUACACUAAAAAUGCAAGACAUUGCUGAAAGAAAUCCAAAGAGAUCUAAUAAAUUGGAGAUGUAGCAUAUUCAUAAAUCAGAAUCCUCAAUAUUGACAGGGUGUGAGUUCUCCCUAAAUUUAUCUACAGAUUGAGCACGAUCCCAACUGCAAUUGUAUUGAAUUUUUUUAGGAAUUGAAAAACUUAUUCUACUAUUCAGAUAGAAAUUCAAAAGGUCCUAAAAUAGCCAAAACAACUUUGAAGAGGAAGAACAGAGUUAGAAAACUAAUAUUGCCUCACUUCGAGGUUAAUUAUAAAGCUACACUAUCCAAAAACUAGAGAAAUAGAUCAGUGCAAUUGAAUUCAUAUGUACAUAUAUCAAAAAAGUGAACUUUGGCCUGGCACAGUGGCGCACACCUGUAAUCUCAGCAGCUCAGGAGACUGAGACACGAGGAUCACGAGUUCAAAGCCAACCUCAGCAAUGGUGAGGCACUAAGCAACUCAGUGAGACCCUGUCUCUAAAUAAAAUACAAAAUAGGGCUGGGGAUGUGCUCAGUGGUUAAGUGCCUCUGGGUUCGAUCCCUAGUACCAAAAAAAAAAAAAAAUGAACUUAGGCUAUAUUUGGCAUCACGUGCCUAUAAUCCCAGCUGAGGCAAGAAGAUCUCGAGCCCCGGAGUUCAAGGCCACCCUGGCCCACAGUAAAACCCCAUCUAAAAAAUAAAAAAAAAAAACAUAAAAAUUAACUCAAAGUGAAUAACAAGACUUAAAGUAAAACUUAAAACUAUAAAACUUGUAUAAGACAGCAAGGAAAAAACUCUUUGUGACCUCAGGUUGUGCAAACUCUUCCUAGGUACAAUACCAAAAGGACCAUUCUUAGAAGAACAAAUUGAUAAUGGGGUUCAUGAAAAAUUUUUAAAUAUCUGCUCUUCAAAAUAUACUUUUAAGAUAAUGAAAAAGCAAGUCUCAGAAAUUAUUUGCAAAGCAUAUAUCUGACAAAGGUCAUCUAGAAUUUACGAACAACUCUGAAAAUUCAGUAACAACCCAAUUUUUUAAAUGUGCAAAUAUCUCACUGAAGAAGAUAUAAGGAGAUUAUUAUGGUUUGGUGUGAGGUGUACCCUGAAAGCUCCUGAGUUAAUGCAGGGAUAUUCAGAGGUGAGAUGAUUGGGUUGGACUGGAUUGUGAGAGCUAAUCAGUCCAUCCUGGUUUGAAUGGACUGAGUGAUAACUGUAGGAGUUGGGGUGUGGCUGGAGGAGGUGGGUCACUCAGAGCGUGCCCUGGAAGGCUGCAUCCUCCCUGUGGCCCUUUCCCCCUUUGCUCUACCUCUCUGAUUCCUGGCCUCACUAAAAGCUGAGCAUCUUUCCUCCACUGGAUCCUUCCCCCUGGUGUGCUGCCUCACACUGGGCCCAGGGCAAUGGAGUCAGCCUUCUACAGACAGAGACCUCUGAAACCCCGAGUCCCAGAUGAACUUUUCUACCUCCUCGGUUGUUCUUGUCAGGUAUUUUGGCCACAGUGACCAAAAAAGCUCAAUAAAACAGAUGGGAAAGAAGCACACAAAAAGAUGUUCAGGAUCAUCAGUUACUUGGCAAAGGCAAAGCCAUAAUAUAACUGCACAAACCUGUUAGAAAGACUAAAGUACUGUUUUAUCGUGUGUUUGUGUUACUGUGGAUCAGGCUGCUUUCUGUUGUUAUUGGUGGGAAUGUAGCAUGGUACAGCUACAGUUUUGUAAAAAGUUAAACAUACACCUACGCUACCAUACAGCCGUCAUACUCCCAGGUAUUAACCCUGGGGAAAAGUCUACAUCCAUGGAGGUGGUCAGCUUUCUGCCACUGUGACAAAAUACCUGAGAUCAUAACUUUUAAGGAGGAAAGGUUUAUUUACUCUGGAGAUUUCAGUCUCUGGUUGGUUGUCCUGUUGCUCUUGGGCCUGGGGGAAGGCAGAACAUUAUAGGGGAAGCUGCUCACCUCAGGGCUUCCAGGAAGCAAAGGGAGACAGGAAGGAAAGGGCUAGGAUUCAAUAUCCAGACUACAGCAUCCAUACACAAAACUUGUAUGUGAAUGUUUAUAGCAAUUUUUAAUACCCUGCAAUUAUACAUGUCUGGAGUUUUUGUACUUGGGCAUAUAGUUGAACCAUUUAGUUUUUGUGCUUACCACUGAAUGUUUUUGGUUAGUUUUAAAACAUGAUUUUUUUUCAGUACUGGGAUUUGAACCCAGGAGUACUUUACACACUGAACUACAUCCCUGUCCUUUAGUUUCUUUUUGAGACAGGGUCUCAUUAAGUUGUUUAGAGCCUUGCUAGGUUGACAAGGCUGGCCUAGAAGUUGCAAUCCUCCUGUCUCAGCCUCCCAAAUUGCUGGAAUUCAGGUGUUCACCACCACAUAGCAAAAAAUAAAGUGUUGAUACACAUAGUAAUGUGGUUGAAUCUCUAGUUGGAAGAGUUAAAGAAACCAAAUAAAAGUACAUAUAGUAUGAUUUAAUUUAUAUAAAACUAGAAAAUGUAAACCAAUCUAUACAAACAUCCCAGUUUCCUGGGAUGGGGAUGAGAAGCUGGGAGUGACAGCAGAGAGGAGUCACAGAAAGGUCCAGGGAAGCUGGGGGGUCAUGGAUAAGACACCAUCUCGGUGGUGGUGAUAGUUUCAUGGUGUGUAAGUGUACCCCUGUGUGUACCCAUGCACAAUGUCUAAUAUGAUAAUGUCUAGUCUUAAAUCGUGACUCUCAAUAUGUGCAGUUAGUAAAUUUCAUUCAUACCUCAAUAAAAGAGGGAGUCUUUUUCAAUUAAAAAAUAAUAAUUUCAUCCCAAAGAUUUAAGAAUUAGUUUUCAUAUAAAAUGUGUAUCCUUAGUAAGCCAAAGAAAUUGACCUGUUGAAUAUAUAAAAAAUUAUCAAAUGUUGGUGAUUCACCUACUACAUUCACUUAAGUGUUGAAAUCAUUGUCACUGAACUGCUUACUAUGAAACCAGUUGGUCCUCAUUUUUCUUAUGAUCUCAUCUUGUCAAAGACUAUGCUAUUAGUAGUAAGAACAAUGGUCUCU
Molecule: long non-coding RNA, 3808 nt
Filed under: Marmota monax (woodchuck)
Lineage: Eukaryota; Metazoa; Chordata; Mammalia; Rodentia; Sciuridae
Source: RNAcentral